RNAcentral lists this ribosomal RNA (253 nucleotides) under uncultured bacterium. RNAcentral's name for it is "partial 16S ribosomal RNA". It matches the Rfam family "Bacterial small subunit ribosomal RNA", at positions 524 to 776 of the family's 1533-position model. The record is from RNAcentral.
UACGAAGGGGGCUAGCGUUGCUCGGAAUCACUGGGCGUAAAGCGCGCGCAGGCGGUCUUCCAAGUCAGUGGUGAAAGCCCGGAGCUCAACUCCGGAACUGCCAUUGAAACUGUUAGACUUGAGGAUGAGAGAGGUGAGUGGAAUUCCCAGUGUAGAGGUGAAAUUCGUAGAUAUUGGGAAGAACACCAGUGGCGAAGGCGGCUCACUGGCUCAUUACUGACGCUCAGGCGCGAUAGCGUGGGGAUCAAACAGG